GUAGGUGGCAAGCGUUGUCCGGAAUUAUUGGGCGUAAAGCGCGCGCAGGCGGUUCUUUAAGUCUGAUGUGAAAGCCCACGGCUCAACCGUGGAGGGUCAUUGGAAACUGGAGAACUUGAGUACAGAAGAGGAAAGCGGAAUUCCACGUGUAGCGGUGAAAUGCGUAGAGAUGUGGAGGAACACCAGUGGCGAAGGCGGCUUUCUGGUCUGUAACUGACGCUGAGGCGCGAAAGCGUGGGGAGCAAACAGGGAUUAGAUACCCUGGUAGUCCACGCCGUAAACGAUGAGUGCUAAGUGUUAGGGGGGUUCCCCGCCCCCUUAGUGCUGCAGCUAACGCAUUAAGCACUCCGCCUGGGGAGUACGGCCGCAAGGCUG
This 375-nucleotide ribosomal RNA is filed under the name uncultured organism. RNAcentral describes it as "partial 16S ribosomal RNA". It matches the Rfam family "Bacterial small subunit ribosomal RNA", at positions 527 to 896 of the family's 1533-position model. The record is from RNAcentral.